Long non-coding RNA from Odocoileus virginianus texanus, 965 nucleotides. RefSeq lists it as uncharacterized. The record is from RefSeq and is a predicted model, not a curated record. Lineage: Eukaryota; Metazoa; Chordata; Mammalia; Artiodactyla; Cervidae.
UAACGGACUGACCCAGAUUCAAUUCCUGGGCAGGGAACUAAGAUCUCUCUUUAGGACCAUUCACCGCUGUCUCUCUGAAGUCAAAAUCACCAGUUUAGAUGGGUACUAAGAUAUUUCAGGUGACUUUGGGUUUGGGAGAAGACCCAGAAAGAGCCGUGGGAAGUACAGGAAGUGGGAACUGCUCCUGCUUACCUGCCCAGCUAUGAUAUCCUGCUACGUUUGAGACCGAAAUCGCUCAGCAGCCACACGUUUCAGGUUGAGGUAACUCUCCACUACCUUAAAGGUCAGGACAGCCGCUGUGCUGACAGAGGCUCCCUCCCCCUGGCAGUCUACCCCACAGCUCUUGAGUCAUCACGUCUGGAUGACUAGGCUGACAAAAACAAGGUUUCAGGGGCUGAGUCGAAUUGGUGGGAAGCAGGGUGGUAGGGCAGAGCGGUGGAGCAGGAAGAGCACUGCCCUUGGAGUCCAAGGAUCUGGGUUCCAGCCCCUGCCCCGUGAACUUGGGUGGGCCUGCCACGUUGAUCUCUUUGGCUGUCGGAUGCAACUAGAUAAUGCGAGACAUGCUGCAUGAACUUCCCAGGAAGUGGAAGGUGCUCAGUGAGAUGGAUUGUGCAGGACUCACACUGAGGCAGAAGUCUUGGCCCUAGACCAGGAUACGAUCCUCCUGGUUCACCUCGUCUUACGGAGACCAGGUUGGUCCCUAGAUCUGUAGAGAUUUGCAUCCCUAACCAUUCAUUUAUUCAACAGAUGUUUCCACAGAGCUAUGCUGAAGCCCGACAAGGCACCAGCUUGCAUCUAGAGGUUACUUCUCCUUAUCCUGGAAACACAAAUGGUUGGCUGCCAGAGGUGGCAGCACCAACACAGGACUGCUGUCCCCAUCUCAUAGCCUGGGACUUGAGAAAUUCCCUUGCGGGCACUCAAGCUUGGUGAACAGCUCCAGCUUCGGAGGCAACAAGGGCAAGUUU